RNAcentral lists this ribosomal RNA (186 nucleotides) under uncultured Alcaligenes sp. Its description in RNAcentral is "partial 16S ribosomal DNA". It matches the Rfam family "Bacterial small subunit ribosomal RNA", at positions 351 to 528 of the family's 1533-position model. Lineage: Bacteria; Pseudomonadati; Pseudomonadota; Betaproteobacteria; Burkholderiales; Alcaligenaceae. The record is from RNAcentral.
GGCGAGUGAAUUUUUGCACAAUAGGGGGCAACCCUGAUCCAGCCAUCCCGCGUGAGCGAUGAAGGCCUUCGGAUUGUAAAGCACUUUUGGCAGGGAAGAAACAGACUGGACCCGUACCCCGGGCCCCUGACAACUUCUGGCCAAUAACCGCCGGCAUACUACGUGCCAGCAGCCGCGGUAAUAAGA